This is a long non-coding RNA of Amblyraja radiata (thorny skate), 189 nucleotides long. RefSeq lists it as uncharacterized. The record is from RefSeq and is a predicted model, not a curated record. The transcript has 3 exons. Lineage: Eukaryota; Metazoa; Chordata; Chondrichthyes; Rajiformes; Rajidae.
UGGUGUGCCUCAGGGUUCGGUGCUGGGCCCUUUUCUAUUUGUGGUUUAUAUCAACGAUUUGGAUGAGAAUGUAGUAUGAUUAGUAAGUUUUCAGAUGACACUAACGUAGGUGAUAUUGUAGAUGGUGAAGAUGACUAUCAAAAAUUAUAAAAGGCUCUUGAUCAGCUGGGCAAGUGGGCUGACGAAUGG